RNAcentral lists this ribosomal RNA (1488 nucleotides) under metagenome. Its description in RNAcentral is "bacterial SSU rRNA". It matches the Rfam family "Bacterial small subunit ribosomal RNA". The record is from RNAcentral.
AGAGUUUGAUCCUGGCUCAGGAUGAAUGCUGGCGGCGUGCCUAACACAUGCAAGUCGAACGAGAUUUUAUAUUUAAAGCUUCGGUGGAGAAUAUUUAAUUUAGUGGCAAACGGGUGAGUAAUACAUAAGUAAUCUACCUUUAAGUCUGGGAUAGCCUUAUGAAAAUGAGAUUAAUACCGGAUAUAUACUUUUUUCGCAUGAAAUAAGUAGAAAGUUUUUCGCUUAAAGAUGAGCUUAUGCCUGAUUAACUAGUUGGUAAGGUAAAGGCUUACCAAGGUUAUGAUCAGUAGCUGGUCUGAGAGGAUGGUCAGCCACACUGGAACUGAGAUACGGUCCAGACUCCUACGGGAGGCAGCAGUGAGGAAUAUUGCGCAAUGGGGGCAACCCUGACGCAGCGACGCCGCGUGAGUGACGAAGUCUUUCGGGAUGUAAAGCUCUGUCAAGAGAGAUAAUUAUGACAGUAUCUCUAAGGGAAGCCCUGGCUAAUUACGUGCCAGCAGCCGCGGUAAUACGUAAGGGGCUAGCAUUAUCCGGAUUUAUUGGGCAUAAAGAGUACGUAGGUGGCGAUCUAAGUUAGAUGUUAAAUCCUUAAGCUUAACUUAAGUCCGCAUUUAAUACUGGAUCGCUAGAGGUUAGAAGAGGAAAGCGGAACUCACGGUGUAGCGGUGGAAUGCGUAGAUAUCGUGAGGAACACCAGUUGCGAAGGCGGCUUUCUGGUCUAAUUCUGACAUUGUGGUACGAAAGCGUGGGGAGCGAACGGGAUUAGAUACCCCGGUAGUCCACGCCGUAAACGUUGUUCACUAGGUGUAGGAAGUAUCGACCCUUUCUGUGCCAAAGAUAAUUCGUUAAGUGAACCGCCUGGGAAGUACGACCGCAAGGUUAAAACUCAAAGGAAUUGACGGGGGCCCGCACAAGCAGUGGAGCAUGUGGUUUAAUUCGACGAUACACGAAGAACCUUACCAGGGUUUGACAUCUGCAGAAUUUUCUAGAAAUAGAAAAGUGCCCGCAAGGGAAUUGCAAGACAGGUGGUGCAUGGCUGUCGUCAGCUCGUGUCGUGAGAUGUUGGGUUAAGUCCCGCAACGAGCGCAACCCUUAUUCUGUGUUGCCAGCACUAACGGUGGGAACUCACAGAAGACUGCCUGUGUAAAGCAGGAGGAAGGUGAGGAUGACGUCAAGUCAUCAUGCCCCUUACACCCUGGGCUACACACAUGCUACAAUGGCUGGUACAAAAGGUUGCGAUACUGCAAAGAGGAGCUAAUCCUUCAAAACCAGUCUAAGCACGGAUUGUAGUCUGCAACUCGACUACAUGAAGUUGGAAUUGCUAGUAAACGCAUAUCAGCUAUGUUGCGUUGAAUACGUUCUCGGGCCUUGUACACACCGCCCGUCACACCAUGAGAGUUGGUAGCACCCGAAGCCAAUGAUUUAACCCUUUUGGGAGAUAGUUGUCUAAGGUGAGAUCAGCGAUUGGGGUGAAGUCGUAACAAGGUA